UGCAAGUCGAGCGGUAGAGAGAAGCUUGCUUCUCUUGAGAGCGGCGGACGGGUGAGUAAUGCCUAGGAAUCUGCCUGGUAGUGGGGGAUAACGUUCGGAAACGGACGCUAAUACCGCAUACGUCCUACGGGAGAAAGCAGGGGACCUUCGGGCCUUGCGCUAUCAGAUGAGCCUAGGUCGGAUUAGCUAGUUGGUGAGGUAAUGGCUCACCAAGGCGACGAUCCGUAACUGGUCUGAGAGGAUGAUCAGUCACACUGGAACUGAGACACGGUCCAGACUCCUACGGGAGGCAGCAGUGGGGAAUAUUGGACAAUGGGCGAAAGCCUGAUCCAGCCAUGCCGCGUGUGUGAAGAAGGUCUUCGGAUUGUAAAGCACUUUAAGUUGGGAGGAAGGGUUGUAGAUUAAUACUCUGCAAUUUUGACGUUACCGACAGAAUAAGCACCGGCUAACUCUGUGCCAGCAGCCGCGGUAAUACAGAGGGUGCAAGCGUUAAUCGGAAUUACUGGGCGUAAAGCGCGCGUAGGUGGUUUGUUAAGUUGGAUGUGAAAUCCCCGGGCUCAACCUGGGAACUGCAUUCAAAACUGACUGACUAGAGUAUGGUAGAGGGUGGUGGAAUUUCCUGUGUAGCGGUGAAAUGCGUAGAUAUAGGAAGGAACACCAGUGGCGAAGGCGACCACCUGGACUAAUACUGACACUGAGGUGCGAAAGCGUGGGGAGCAAACAGGAUUAGAUACCCUGGUAGUCCACGCCGU
This 752-nucleotide ribosomal RNA is filed under the name bacterium LGM19. RNAcentral describes it as "bacterial SSU rRNA". It matches the Rfam family "Bacterial small subunit ribosomal RNA", at positions 56 to 803 of the family's 1533-position model. The record is from RNAcentral.